GACGAACGCUGGCGGCGUGCCUAAUACAUGCAAGUCGAACGCAGUGGGGGCGGGUGAGUAACAAGUGGGUAACCUCCCAUCAGAGGGGAUAACACGUGGAAACAGGUGCUAAACCGCUACUGAUGGAUGGACCCGCGGUGCAUUAGCUAGUUGGGGAGGUAACGGCUCACCAGGGCCACGAUGCAUAGCCGACCUGAGAGGGUGAUCGGACACACUGGGACUGAGACACGACCCAGACUCCUACGGGAGGCAGCAGUAGGGAAUCUUCGGCAAUGGACGAAAGUCUGACCGAGCAACGCCGCGUGAGUGAAGAAGGUUUUCGGAUUGUAAAACUCUGUUGUUAGAGAAGCGGUAUCUAACCAGAAAGCCACGGCUAACUACGUGCCAGCAGCCGCGGUAAUUC
This 403-nucleotide ribosomal RNA is filed under the name uncultured bacterium. Its description in RNAcentral is "partial 16S ribosomal RNA". It matches the Rfam family "Bacterial small subunit ribosomal RNA", at positions 28 to 526 of the family's 1533-position model. The record is from RNAcentral.